Molecule: transfer RNA, 74 nt
Filed under: Syntrophus sp. (in: bacteria)
Lineage: Bacteria; Pseudomonadati; Thermodesulfobacteriota; Syntrophia; Syntrophales; Syntrophaceae
Description: tRNA-Arg
Rfam family: tRNA
About the family: Transfer RNA (tRNA) molecules are approximately 80 nucleotides in length.
Source: RNAcentral
GGGCGAUUAGCUCAGUUGGAUAGAGCGCUGGUCUCCGGAACCAGAGGUCGCGCGUUCAAGUCGCGCAUCGCCCG